CAGUGGGGAAUAUUGCACAAUGGGCGCAAGCCUGAUGCAGCCAUGCCGCGUGUAUGAAGAAGGCCUUCGGGUUGUAAAGUACUUUCAGCAGUGAGGAAGGUGGUGUCGUUAAUAGCGGCAUCAUUUGACGUUAGCUGCAGAAGAAGCACCGGCUAACUCCGUGCCAGCAGCCGCGGUAAUACGGAGGGUGCGAGCGUUAAUCGGAAUUACUGGGCGUAAAGCGCAUGCAGGUGGUUUGUUAAGUCAGAUGUGAAAGCCCGGGGCUCAACCUCGGAAUUGCAUUUGAAACUGGCAGACUAGAGUACUGUAGAGGGGGGUAGAAUUUCAGGUGUAGCGGUGAAAUGCGUAGAGAUCUGAAGGAAUACCGGUGGCGAAGGCGGCCCCCUGGACAGAUACUGACACUCAGAUGCGAAAGCGUGGGGAGCAAACAGGAUUAGAUACCCUGGUAGUCCACGCCGUAAACGAUGUCUACUUGGAGGUUGUGGCCUUGAGCCGUGGCUUUCGGAGCUAACGCGUUAAGUAGACCGCCUGGGGAGUACGGUCGCAAGAUUAAAACUCAAAUGAAUUGACGGGGGCCCGCACAAGCGGUGGAGCAUGUGGUUUAAUUCGAUGCAACGCGAAGAACCUUACCUACUCUUGACAUCCUCAGAAG
Molecule: ribosomal RNA, 652 nt
Filed under: Vibrio sp.
Lineage: Bacteria; Pseudomonadati; Pseudomonadota; Gammaproteobacteria; Vibrionales; Vibrionaceae
Description: bacterial SSU rRNA
Rfam family: Bacterial small subunit ribosomal RNA
Source: RNAcentral